RNAcentral lists this ribosomal RNA (305 nucleotides) under uncultured bacterium. RNAcentral describes it as "bacterial SSU rRNA". It matches the Rfam family "Bacterial small subunit ribosomal RNA", at positions 333 to 655 of the family's 1533-position model. The record is from RNAcentral.
UUUUUCCUACGGGACGCAGCAGUGGGGAAUAUUGCACAAUGGGGGAAACCCUGAUGCAGCGACGCCGCGUGAGUGAAGAAGUAUCUCGGUAUGUAAAGCUCUAUCAGCAGGAAAGAUAAUGACGGUACCUGACUAAGAAGCCCCGGCUAACUACGUGCCAGCAGCCGCGGUAAUACGUAGGGGGCAAGCGUUAUCCGGAUUUACUGGGUGUAAAGGGAGCGUAGACGGCAGCGCAAGUCUGGAGUGAAAUGCCGGGGCCCAACCCCGGAACUGCUUUGGAAACUGGGCGGCUCGAGGGCGGGAGG